CCCCAGACGCCAAAUUGCUCUGAGGAAACUCUAACAAAGGAAUAUCUGCUAUCUGGAUAUAAAGAAACGGUUGAGGGGCUUGAGGAAGCUAGAGAAAUCUCACUAUCCCAGGUUCAAACUUUUAACAAGACAGUUGUCCUUAAUUGCAAGGAGGCUAUUAGAAAACAUCUUAGGUCAUC
Molecule: long non-coding RNA, 179 nt
Organism: Arachis duranensis
Lineage: Eukaryota; Viridiplantae; Streptophyta; Magnoliopsida; Fabales; Fabaceae
Exons: 3
Source: RefSeq, a predicted model, not a curated record